GUUCGUUUCAUUUCACAUGACCUUUAGAUUUAAAAAGUAUAUAAAUGCAGGUUUUAGAAAAUGAAAUACUUAAAAGAUUGAUAUAACUUUGUGUUUUGUUUUUAUACAUAAGAUAUAAAAUUGUAUGUGUAAUUAAGCUAAAAAAAAAAUCAAAAUGUUGUAAAAAAAAAAUUGACCAUAGGCACUUGAACUGUAAUGAGUGUUGCUAUUUCUACCCCCCGGCCUAUUUUUCUGUUCACCUUAUUUUUCCACCGACCAUGUAAAUUUCAAAAAAUACAAUCCUAUCUUUUCACCCACCAUAAGAAGUGGAAAGGUGUUUGUCACCUCUUCAGAAAUGACAUAUCUGUAAUCAUAUUAUAACCAAUCCCCCCGUAUAACAAAUUAUACCAUGUAUUAGUUAAUACUCGUGUUUUGAAUUUUAAAAUACCAGUAAUUUUUUAAAUUCUUGAAAUGUG
This 455-nucleotide long non-coding RNA is filed under the name Prunus persica (peach). RNAcentral's name for it is "long non-coding RNA (PPER_LNC002664)". Lineage: Eukaryota; Viridiplantae; Streptophyta; Magnoliopsida; Rosales; Rosaceae. The record is from RNAcentral.